AACUCAUCUGGGUUCGUCGAGGCGCCCGUAUUACUCUUAGGGUCAUGAUAACUCUUGCAAAAUUUAUCCAUAGCUCCUCUCUGUGAUUCUAUCAACUCAUCCACACGUCCUUUCCUUUUCCUUUUCUCGCAGCCUGAUUCAUAUUUUCUAGACGACAUGAUAUCCCAUAGUACUGAAAUUAUUAUAAAUACACAAUAGUUAUAAAUUGGUUAAUAUUAAAUAACUUGUGAUAGUGAAUUAAUAAUUAAUGGUAUGGAGAAUUGGAAAAUUGACAAUCAAGCAGCCUACCUAGUUGCUGUCGCAGUCGAAUAGGAACAACCUGAUCUCGUUUCUCGUCAAGCGAGG
RNAcentral lists this long non-coding RNA (345 nucleotides) under Setaria italica (foxtail millet). RNAcentral's name for it is "long non-coding RNA (SITA_LNC004769)". Lineage: Eukaryota; Viridiplantae; Streptophyta; Magnoliopsida; Poales; Poaceae. The record is from RNAcentral.